GAUGAACGCUAGCUACAGGCUUAACACAUGCAAGUCGCGGGGCAGCAGGUACAGAAGCUUGCUUCAGUACGCUGGCGACCGGCGCACGGGUGAGUAACGCGUAUCCAACCUGGCCCAUACCACGGGACAGCCCGUCGAAAGGCGGAUUAAUACCGUAUGCAGUCAUUAGGGAGCAUUUUUUGAUGACGAAAGGAUUUGGCGGUAUGGGAUGGGGAUGCGUCUGAUUAGCUUGUUGGCGGGGUAACGGCCCACCAAGGCGACGAUCAGUAGGGGUUCUGAGAGGAAGGUCCCCCANAUUGGAACUGAGACACGGUCCAAACUCCUACGGGAGGCAGCAGUGAGGAAUAUUGGUCAAUGGGCAGAGCCUGAACCAGCCAAGUAGCGUGAGGGACGACUGCCCUAUGGGUUGUAAACCUCUUUUGUUUGGGAAUAAGUGCGCCACGUGUGGCGCAUUGCAUGUACCAUUUGAAUUAAGGACCGGCUAAAUUCCCGUG
This 494-nucleotide ribosomal RNA is filed under the name uncultured bacterium. RNAcentral's name for it is "bacterial SSU rRNA". It matches the Rfam family "Bacterial small subunit ribosomal RNA", at positions 28 to 509 of the family's 1533-position model. The record is from RNAcentral.